GCCCCUAUAGCCCAACAGGCAGAGGCGGGCGACUUAAAAUCGCUUCAGUCUGGGUUCGAAUCCCAGUGGGGGCA
Molecule: transfer RNA, 74 nt
Rfam family: tRNA
About the family: Transfer RNA (tRNA) molecules are approximately 80 nucleotides in length. Their secondary structure includes four short double-helical elements and three loops (D, anti-codon, and T loops). Further hydrogen bonds mediate the characteristic L-shaped molecular structure. tRNAs have two regions of fundamental functional importance: the anti-codon, which is responsible for specific mRNA codon recognition, and the 3' end, to which the tRNAs corresponding amino acid is attached (by aminoacyl-tRNA synthetases). tRNAs cope with the degeneracy of the genetic code in two manners: having more than one tRNA (with a specific anti-codon) for a particular amino acid; and 'wobble' base-pairing, i.e. permitting non-standard base-pairing at the 3rd anti-codon position.